This 1320-nucleotide long non-coding RNA is filed under the name Phoenix dactylifera (date palm). RNAcentral's name for it is "long non-coding RNA (PDAC_LNC005009)". The record is from RNAcentral. Lineage: Eukaryota; Viridiplantae; Streptophyta; Magnoliopsida; Arecales; Arecaceae.
UAGAUUAUACAUCAUAUUUCACUUACCAACAGCCAAGCAGACCCUACUUUAGAGAUUGCACAUCAUAAAUAAUGAAAAACGACCCUUCCUGUGGCCAGUGGCAACCAUUGCUAUCCUAUGUGAUCUCAAUGAUCAACAUCCAACUACUGACCUCAGAUUACAUAAGGACCUUUUCAACUAACAAAUCCUAUGGCGGAUCAGAACUCCAUUCAACUCAAUUUUGGUUAUUAUUGAUCUAACACAAACCACUAGUGUAAGGCUUAGAAGGGCAUGUCCUAAAACUCUGCCUGAUAUUUGACAAGAAAGACCUCCAAUAAUAGAAAAACAAAUCAAAAUGCGCAGGCUUAAGACAAGAAUAUGGAAUGGGACCUUUCAUAUUAAAUCAGAAAAUGCUAUGCGACACAAAAUCAUUCACCAUAGAGAAAAAAGAACAUUUUUUCUUGUUAAGAUUCUAUUCAAAUUAAGGUACAUAAAAAAUACAACUGUACACAGAUUCUACACUACACCAGAUAAAGACAGGCAGUUGAGCUAUAUUACCUCGACGGAAAACUCUGUAAUCUCCACCAAUAAGAGCAAAUAACUCAAAACCUGCACCGAAGCCCGAAGGAAACAAUUCCGACGUUCCCCAAGCACGCUCAGAUUCAGAUCCAAGAAUAAGGCGAAAUGCCUCAAACGCUGAAACGGCGACGAAGAAGGAGAAGAAGAACAAGAAGACGAAGAAGAAAGAGAGGAGAAAUCCCAAAGAACGAGGGUAAUAUCUACCCUUGGGGGCCUAAUGUUAGCUGAGAUUACCACGACGAUUCCACUUCUCCAACUGUUUCAGACGAUGGGAACAACUACUAGAACCGCUAUGGUACGAGAUCUGAGAGGGUACCGGAGCCGCGCCCGCUCGCCUCUGCAAGAAUUCCCCGAGCACCGAAGGCAUUGUCGAUGCUCUUCGAAUCCAAGAGCCAAACCCUAAUCCACUUCUCUCAAGAAAGAACCCAACGCCGCGAGAACGAGAAAUCUUCGACUUUCGGUCGAUUGAUCGGCUUCAAAGUUAGCCCAUCAGAAGCUGAGGAGAGAUCAGAGGAGGAGACGAAUCGGAUCGAGAGCGAGAAUUCCUUGUAACGGGUGGGCGGGAGAAAGGGUAGCGCGAGAAAACGAGGGUUGCGGGGGUUUGGGCAACGCGGCGCGGCGCGAUCUUGUUUUCCAUCCUGAUCUAAAAUUGCGGCCGCACACGGCAUUCCGAAGCCAACUCACAGAUUUCGCAUCCCGGCUGUUGGAUUUGGCUGACGGCCGGCAGGGCAUGUCGGCUCCUGACUCAGACCGUUGACAUCU